CAGUCGAGCGGUAGCACAGAGAGCUUGCUCUCGGGUGACGAGCGGCGGACGGGUGAGUAAUGUCUGGGAAACUGCCUGAUGGAGGGGGAUAACUACUGGAAACGGUAGCUAAUACCGCAUAACGUCGCAAGACCAAAGUGGGGGACCUUCGGGCCUCAUGCCAUCAGAUGUGCCCAGAUGGGAUUAGCUGGUAGGUGGGGUAACGGCUCACCUAGGCGACGAUCCCUAGCUGGUCUGAGAGGAUGACCAGCCACACUGGAACUGAGACACGGUCCAGACUCCUACGGGAGGCAGCAGUGGGGAAUAUUGCACAAUGGGCGCAAGCCUGAUGCAGCCAUGCCGCGUGUGUGAAGAAGGCCUUCGGGUUGUAAAGCACUUUCAGCGGGGAGGAAGGCGGUGAGGUUAAUAACCUCAUCGAUUGACGUUACCCGCAGAAGAAGCACCGGCUAACUCCGUGCCAGCAGCCGCGGUAAUACGGAGGGUGCAAGCGUUAAUCGGAAUUACUGGGCGUAAAGCGCACGCAGGCGGUCUGUCAAGUCGGAUGUGAAAUCCCCGGGCUCAACCUGGGAACUGCAUUCGAAACUGGCAGGCUAGAGUCUUGUAGAGGGGGGUAGAAUUCCAGGUGUAGCGGUGAAAUGCGUAGAGAUCUGGAGGAAUACCGGUGGCGAAGGCGGCCCCCUGGACAAAGACUGACGCUCAGGUGCGAAAGCGUGGGGAGCAAACAGGAUUAGAUACCCUGGUAGUCCACGCUGUAAACGAUGUCGAUUUGGAGGUUGUGCCCUUGAGGCGUGGCUUCCGGAGCUAACGCGUUAAAUCGACCGCCUGGGGAGUACGGCCGCAAGGUUAAAACUCAAAUGAAUUGACGGGGGCCCGCACAAGCGGUGGAGCAUGUGGUUUAAUUCGAUGCAACGCGAAGAACCUUACCUGGUCUUGACAUCCACAGAACUUUCCAGAGAUGGAUUGGUGCCUUCGGGAACUGUGAGACAGGUGCUGCAUGGCUGUCGUCAGCUCGUGUUGUGAAAUGUUGGGUUAAGUCCCGCAACGAGCGCAACCCUUAUCCUUUGUUGCCAGCGGUUAGGCCGGGAACUCAAAGGAGACUGCCAGUGAUAAACUGGAGGAAGGUGGGGAUGACGUCAAGUCAUCAUGGCCCUUACGACCAGGGCUACACACGUGCUACAAUGGCAUAUACAAAGAGAAGCGACCUCGCGAGAGCAAGCGGACCUCAUAAAGUAUGUCGUAGUCCGGAUUGGAGUCUGCAACUCGACUCCAUGAAGUCGGAAUCGCUAGUAAUCGUAGAUCAGAAUGCUACGGUGAAUACGUUCCCGGGCCUUGUACACACCGCCCGUCACACCAUGGGAGUGGGUUGCAAAAGAAGUAGGUAGCUUAACCUUCGGGAGGGCGCUA
RNAcentral lists this ribosomal RNA (1404 nucleotides) under Klebsiella variicola. RNAcentral describes it as "bacterial SSU rRNA". It matches the Rfam family "Bacterial small subunit ribosomal RNA". Lineage: Bacteria; Pseudomonadati; Pseudomonadota; Gammaproteobacteria; Enterobacterales; Enterobacteriaceae. The record is from RNAcentral.